GAAAGAAAGAACAAGUAAUUCUCCAGGACUUCAGUUAUGCCAUAACUGAAGUUUGAUAUUUUGGGAUCUGUAUCUAAGUACCCUGUUAGAGCACCAAAGAGUGAAACCAAAGGGCAGAAGGAACACCUCAAAUGCAUCUUCUGGUGUGUCAACACACGUGCACACUUCUUCCUUUCUUUAGGGCAGUGGUGAGAAGUCAUAGUUAUCAAAUGCUGGCUGUCACCUAA
Molecule: long non-coding RNA, 227 nt
Filed under: Phasianus colchicus (ring-necked pheasant)
Lineage: Eukaryota; Metazoa; Chordata; Aves; Galliformes; Phasianidae
Description: lncRNA (ENSPCLG00000020917.1)
Source: RNAcentral